Molecule: non-coding RNA, 164 nt
Filed under: Stenotrophomonas koreensis
Lineage: Bacteria; Pseudomonadati; Pseudomonadota; Gammaproteobacteria; Lysobacterales; Lysobacteraceae
Description: FMN sequence
Rfam family: FMN riboswitch aptamer (RFN element)
About the family: The RFN element is a highly conserved domain that is found frequently in the 5'-untranslated regions of prokaryotic mRNAs that encode for flavin mononucleotide (FMN) biosynthesis and transport proteins.
Source: Rfam by way of RNAcentral
AAACGUCUUCAGGGCGGGGUGCAAUUCCCCACCGGCGGUAGGGGUGAAAGCCCGAGCCCGCGAGCGCUUUGAUGCAGCUGUCCCCCGGGCAGAAGUGUUGAAGGUCAGCAGAUCCGGUCCAAUGCCGGAGCCGACGGUUACAGUCCGGAUGAAAGAAGACGGCC